UUUGCUCUCAUUUUUUAGGGAGCCAAGAAAAAAUGUGAUGUAUAAAACUCCCGAUGAUUAAUUGUAUAACUCCAGGAUUCCAAAGAGCAAAUUAUCAGUGCCACUACCUAGUAUUUUAAAGUUAUGGCUUAUCAUUUUUAUGCAAAAAAAAAAGAUUUAUAAAGUAUCAAAUUUGUAGAAGAAAGGAUUCCAAAAACUCAAAAGAGAAACAUCAUAUGUGGCAGAGACUACUUGCCACUAACCCAUGAUCUAUUCUCUUUAGUAAAAGAACCACAGUUUUAUUCGACAUCGUAUGUAAUAAGCAAAAGGAAUCUAUUUCUGGGUUUCCUAGCAACCAGGUGAGACCAUGUAAAUAGGUUUGGAGCAAUGCAGCUUAGGCUAAUGUGUUACUUCAAGGAAACACCCAUAAGAGGUAUAAGACCAUGAUCACUAAAUGGAAAUAGGACGAGUGGAAAGGAAUCUUAACAGCAACAACAGAUGUACAUCAACAGCUAUCAACGAAAAAUUGCACCAGAUUAAACAAGCGAGGACAACUUAAUUAAAGACUAUUGUAAUAGUGGUCAAAACUGUUUGAAUCGGGGAUAGAAGCAAAACUCAACUCCACUAAAACAAAAGUCAGGAGAGUUUCUCAGCAAUGGGGUGAGUUGGUAAAAACGUGUUGGUCAAUGUGCUUAGACUAUGUGUGUUUACUAAUUGGCUUAUACUGAAGUU
This 711-nucleotide long non-coding RNA is filed under the name Felis catus (domestic cat). RNAcentral's name for it is "lncRNA (ENSFCAG00000042567.2)". The record is from RNAcentral. Lineage: Eukaryota; Metazoa; Chordata; Mammalia; Carnivora; Felidae.